UGCAGAAUCCCGUGAACCAUCGAGUCUUUGAGCGCAAGUUGCGCCCGAAGCCUUUAGGCCGAGGGCACGCCUGCCUGGGCGUCA
RNAcentral lists this ribosomal RNA (84 nucleotides) under Crataegus chrysocarpa. Its description in RNAcentral is "partial 5.8S ribosomal RNA". It matches the Rfam family "5.8S ribosomal RNA", at positions 73 to 154 of the family's 154-position model. Rfam says of the family: 5.8S ribosomal RNA (5.8S rRNA) is a component of the large subunit of the eukaryotic ribosome. It is transcribed by RNA polymerase I as part of the 45S precursor that also contains 18S and 28S rRNA. RNAcentral also lists the same sequence under 2 other names. Lineage: Eukaryota; Viridiplantae; Streptophyta; Magnoliopsida; Rosales; Rosaceae. The record is from RNAcentral.